CACUCCUGCGGGAGGCAGCAGUGGGGAAUUUUGGACAAUGGGCGAAAGCCUGAUCCAGCCAUGCCGCGUGCAGGAUGAAGGCCUUCGGGUUGUAAACUGCUUUUGUACGGAACGAAACGGCCUUUUCUAAUAAAGAGGGCUAAUGACGGUACCGUAAGAAUAAGCACCGGCUAACUACGUGCCAGCAGCCGCGGUAAUACGUAGGGUGCAAGCGUUAAUCGGAAUUACUGGGCGUAAAGCGUGCGCAGGCGGUUAUGUAAGACAGUUGUGAAAUCCCCGGGCUCAACCUGGGAACUGCAUCUGUGACUGCAUAGCUAGAGUACGGUAGAGGGGGAUGGAAUUCCGCGUGUAGCAGUGAAAUGCGUAGAUAUGCGGAGGAACACCGAUGGCGAAGGCAAUCCCCUGGACCUGUACUGACGCUCAUGCACGAAAGCGUGGGGAGCAAACAGGAUUAGAUACCCCGGCAGUCCC
Molecule: ribosomal RNA, 471 nt
Filed under: uncultured organism
Description: partial 16S ribosomal RNA
Rfam family: Bacterial small subunit ribosomal RNA
Source: RNAcentral